RNAcentral lists this ribosomal RNA (425 nucleotides) under uncultured bacterium. RNAcentral describes it as "bacterial SSU rRNA". It matches the Rfam family "Bacterial small subunit ribosomal RNA", at positions 356 to 773 of the family's 1533-position model. The record is from RNAcentral.
GGGGAAUUUUGGACAAUGGGCGAAAGCCUGAUCCAGCAAUGCCGCGUGAGUGAAGAAGGCCUUCGGGUUGUAAAGCUCUUUUGUCAGGGAAGAAACGGUGAGGGCUAAUAUCCUUCGCUAAUGACGGUACCUGAAGAAUAAGCACCGGCUAACUACGUGCCAGCAGCCGCGGUAAUACGUAGGGUGCAAGCGUUAAUCGGAAUUACUGGGCGUAAAGCGUGCGCAGGCGGUUUUGUAAGUCUGACGUGAAAUCCCCGGGCUCAACCUGGGAAUUGCGUUGGAGACUGCAAGGCUAGAAUCUGGCAGAGGGGGGUAGAAUUCCACGUGUAGCAGUGAAAUGCGUAGAGAUGUGGAGGAACACCGAUGGCGAAGGCAGCCCCCUGGGUCAAGAUUGACGCUCAUGCACGAAAGCGUGGGGAGCAAAC